GCACUGCUGAGGAGUCUCAUAAUAGGACGAAACGGCCGUCCAGUGC
Molecule: non-coding RNA, 46 nt
Organism: Schistosoma mansoni
Lineage: Eukaryota; Metazoa; Platyhelminthes; Trematoda; Strigeidida; Schistosomatidae
Source: Rfam